AUUGAACGCUGGCGGCAGGCCUAACACAUGCAAGUCGAGCGGUAGCACAGGGAGCUUGCUCCUGGGUGACGAGCGGCGGACGGGUGAGUAAUGUCUGGGGAUCUGCCUGAUGGAGGGGGGUAACUACUGGAAACGGUAGCUAAUACCGCAUAACGUCGCAAGACCAAAGAGGGGGACCUUCGGGCCUCUUGCCAUCAGAUGAACCCAGAUGGGAUUAGCUAGUAGGUGGGGUAAUGGCUCACCUAGGCGACGAUCCCUAGCUGGUCUGAGAGGAUGACAAGGCACACUGGAACUGAGACACGGUCCAGACUCCUACGGGAGGCAGCAGUGGAGCAUAUUGCACAAUGGGCGCAAGCCUGAUGCAGCCAUGCCGCGUGUAUGAAGAAGGCCUUCGGGUUGUAAAGUACUUUCAGCGAGGAGGAAGGCAUUAAGGUUAAUAACCUUAGUGAUUGACGUUACUCGCAGAAGAAGCACCGGCUAACUCCGUGCCAGCCGCCGCAGUAA
Molecule: ribosomal RNA, 504 nt
Filed under: uncultured bacterium
Lineage: Bacteria
Description: partial 16S ribosomal RNA
Rfam family: Bacterial small subunit ribosomal RNA
Source: RNAcentral